UGAGUUCAGACCGGUCGCCUGUUUAUCAAAAACAUCGCCUCUUGUAAACCACAGAUAAGAGGUCCCGCCUGCCCUGUGACUAUGGGUUCAACGGCCGCGGUAUUUUGACCGUGCAAAGGUAGCGCAAUCACUUGUCCUUUAAAUGAGGACCUGUAUGAAAGGCAUCACGAGGGCUUAGCUGUCUCCUUUUUCAAGUCAAUGAAAUUGAUCUCCCCGUGCAGAAGCGGGGAUUAGAACAUAAGACGAGAAGACCCUAUGGAGCUUUAGACACAAGACAGAUCAUGUUAAGCACCUCAGAUAAAAGAGCAAACUAAGUGGAACCUGUCUUAAUGUCUUUGGUUGGGGCGACCGCGGGGCAACAAAAAGCCCCCAUGAGGAAUAAAAGUAUUCUUUCAAAAACAAGAGCCACAGCUCUAAUGAGCAGAACAUCUGACCUACCAGAUCCGGCAUAGCCGAUCAACGAACCGAGUUACCCUAGGGAUAACAGCGCAAUCCCCUUUUAGAGCCCCUAUCGACAAGGGGGUUUACGACCUCGAUGUUGGAUCAGGACAUCCUAAUGGUGCAACCGCUAUUAAGGGUUCGUUUGUUCAACGAUUAAAGUCCUACAUGAUCUGAGUUCAGACCGG
RNAcentral lists this ribosomal RNA (626 nucleotides) under Lagocephalus guentheri (diamondback puffer). Its description in RNAcentral is "partial large subunit ribosomal RNA". It matches the Rfam family "Bacterial large subunit ribosomal RNA", at positions 1774 to 2619 of the family's 2925-position model. The record is from RNAcentral. Lineage: Eukaryota; Metazoa; Chordata; Actinopteri; Tetraodontiformes; Tetraodontidae.